UGGGGAAUUUUGGACAAUGGGCGAAAGCCUGAUCCAGCAAUGCCGCGUGUGUGAAGAAGGCCUUCGGGUUGUAAAGCACUUUUGUCCGGAAAGAAAUCCUUGGCUCUAAGUACAGUCGGGGGAUGACGGUACCGGAAGAAUAAGCACCGGCUAACUACGUGCCAGCAGCCGCGGUAAUACGUAGGGUGCAAGCGUUAAUCGGAAUUACUGGGCGUAAAGCGUGCGCAGGCGGUUUGCUAAGACCGAUGUGAAAUCCCCGGGCUCAACCUGGGAACUGCAUUUGGUGACUGGCAGGCUAGAGUAUGGCAGAGGGGGGUUAGAAUUCCACGUGUAGCAGUGAAAUGCGUAGAGAUGUGGAGGAAUA
Molecule: ribosomal RNA, 364 nt
Filed under: uncultured bacterium
Lineage: Bacteria
Description: partial 16S ribosomal RNA
Rfam family: Bacterial small subunit ribosomal RNA
Source: RNAcentral